Molecule: small nuclear RNA, 101 nt
Organism: Camelus dromedarius (Arabian camel)
Lineage: Eukaryota; Metazoa; Chordata; Mammalia; Artiodactyla; Camelidae
Source: Ensembl
GUGUUUGCUUUGGCAGCGCAUAUACCAAAAUUGGAACGAUACGGAGAUUAGCAUGGUCCCUGCACAAGGAUGACACAAAUUUGGAAGCAUUCCACAUUUUU